RNAcentral lists this ribosomal RNA (266 nucleotides) under uncultured bacterium. Its description in RNAcentral is "partial 16S ribosomal RNA". It matches the Rfam family "Bacterial small subunit ribosomal RNA", at positions 356 to 613 of the family's 1533-position model. The record is from RNAcentral.
AGGGAAUCUUCCACAAUGGACGCAAGUCUGAUGGAGCAACGCCGCGUGAGUGAAGAAGGUUUUCGGACCGUAAAGCUCUGUUGUUGGUGAAGAAGGAUAGAGGUAGUAACUGGCCUUUAUUUGACGGUAAUCAACCAGAAAGUCACGGCUAACUACGUGCCAGCAGCCGCGGUUAAAUCGUAGGUGGCAAGCGUUGUCCGGAUUUAUUGGGCGUAAAGCGAGCGCAGGCGGAAGAAUAAGUCUGAUGUGAAAGCCCUCGGCUUAAC